UACGGAGGGAGCUAGCGUUGUUCGGAUAUACUGGGCGUAAAGCGCACGUAGGCGGCGCAGUAAGUCAGGGGUGAAAUCCCGGGGCUCAACCCCGGAACUGCCCUUGAAACUGCAGUGCUAGAAUCUUGGAGAGGCGAGUGGAAUUCCGAGUGUAGAGGUGAAAUUCGUAGAUAUGUGGAGGAACACCAGUGGCGAAGGCGGCUUUUUGGUCUGUAACUGACGCUGAGGCGCGAAAGCGUGGGGAGCAAACAGG
Molecule: ribosomal RNA, 253 nt
Filed under: uncultured bacterium
Lineage: Bacteria
Description: partial 16S ribosomal RNA
Rfam family: Bacterial small subunit ribosomal RNA
Source: RNAcentral